Collinsella tanakaei YIT 12063 is the source of this 116-nucleotide ribosomal RNA. Lineage: Bacteria; Bacillati; Actinomycetota; Coriobacteriia; Coriobacteriales; Coriobacteriaceae. The record is from Rfam.
GUCAGCGGCCAUGGCGGGCGGGGCACGCCCGGACCCAUUCCGAACCCGGAAGCUAAGCCGCCGAGCGCCGAUGGUACUGCGGGGGAAGCCCGUGGGAGAGCAGGGCGCCGCUGACC